GUAGGUGGCAAGCUUGUCCGGAAUUAUUGGGGCGUAAAGCGCGCGCAGGCGGUUCUUUAAGUCUGAUGUGAAAGCCCAGGGCUCAACCGUGGAGGGUCAUUGGAAACUGGAGAACUUGAGUACAGAAGAGGAAAGCGGAAUUCCACGUGUAGCGGUGAAAUGCGUAGAGAUGUGGAGGAACACCAGUGGCGAAGGCGGCUUUCUGGUCUGUAACUGACGCUGAGGCGCGAAAGCGUGGGGAGCAAACAGGAUUAGAUACCCUGGUAGUCCACGCCGUAAACGAUGAGUGCUAAGUGUUAGGGGGUUUCCGCCCCUUAGUGCUGCAGCUAACGCAUUAAGCACUCCGCCUGGGGAGUACGGCCGCAAAGGCUG
Molecule: ribosomal RNA, 372 nt
Filed under: uncultured organism
Description: partial 16S ribosomal RNA
Rfam family: Bacterial small subunit ribosomal RNA
Source: RNAcentral